Molecule: ribosomal RNA, 447 nt
Filed under: uncultured bacterium
Lineage: Bacteria
Description: bacterial SSU rRNA
Rfam family: Bacterial small subunit ribosomal RNA
Source: RNAcentral
UGGGGAAUCUUGGACAAUGGGCGCAAGCCUGAUCCAGCCAUGCCGCGUGGAUGAUGAAGGCCUUAGGGUUGUAAAAUCCUUUCGCCGAGGACGAUAAUGACGGUACUCGGAGAAGAAGCUCCGGCUAACUUCGUGCCAGCAGCCGCGGUAAUACGAAGGGGGCUAGCGUUGUUCGGAUUUACUGGGCGUAAAGCGCGUGUAGGCGGGUCGUUAAGUUGGGGGUGAAAUCCUGAGGCUCAACCUCGGAACUGCCUUCAAAACUGGCGACCUGGACCUAAGUAGAGGCAAGUGGAAUUGCGAGUGUAGAGGUGAAAUUCGUAGAUAUUCGCAGGAACACCAGUGGCGAAGGCGACUUGCUGGACUUAUGGUGACGCUGAGACGCGAAAGCGUGGGGAGCAAACAGGAUUAGAUACCCAAGUAGUCCCUGAGCGGGCUGGCAAGGCGCAU